Molecule: unclassified non-coding RNA, 649 nt
Filed under: Bradyrhizobium sp. STM 3060
Lineage: Bacteria; Pseudomonadati; Pseudomonadota; Alphaproteobacteria; Hyphomicrobiales; Nitrobacteraceae
Description: partial 16S-23S ribosomal RNA intergenic spacer
Rfam family: tRNA (bases 99-171)
Source: RNAcentral
CAGUUGGUUAGAGCGCGCGCUUGAUAAGCGUGAGGUCGGAAGUUCAAGUCUUCCCAGGCCCACCACUUUCAUCGAGUGAGCAUUCGUCUUCUGGUUACGGGGCCAUAGCUCAGCUGGGAGAGCGCGUGCUUUGCAAGCAUGAGGUCGUCGGUUCGAUCCCGUCUGGCUCCACCAGAUGGUUUGAUCAUCGACUGAUCGUGCACCUAAAUCGUCCGCGAAACAUCACUUCGCACUUGCUAGUCCGGAUGGACAGCAGGCUGCGUGAUUUCUGACAUCGUAAAGAGGAGAUCGAUCCGAGUUGGAUCGUGCAGAGGAUUUCUGCGCGAUACUUCAUUAUCUCCGGAUCAUUUCGGCGCUCACGCGUCCUUCAAGGUCAAACUUGAAAGACGGGCGAGUUGUAAAUGAUCCUUUUAGCGAAGCUUGACCGCCUCGCUAUCGGAACGAUCUUACGAAGCAAGCUGGUCUUUCUAAUCAUUGUCCGGCUGCAGAUAGCGUUCAUCGAGGGCGCGUGCCGCAAGGCAGUUCUGCAGACAACAUUCUGCCGAGUGUGUGGACAUUGAUAAUGAGAGCAAUCAAGUGCCUUAAGGGUGUUCGGUGGAUGCCUUGGCGCUGAGAGGCGAUGAAGGACGUGCUACGCUGCGAUAAGCCG